Mustela erminea (ermine) is the source of this 4104-nucleotide long non-coding RNA. RefSeq lists it as uncharacterized. The transcript is spliced from 3 exons. NCBI's taxonomy places the organism in Eukaryota, Metazoa, Chordata, Mammalia, Carnivora, Mustelidae. The record is from RefSeq and is a predicted model, not a curated record.
GGGAAGAAACAGGGCGAAGAAGUACAUGAGGAGAGUUGAAGGGUGGGUGGCCGUUAUAGAUCAGGUGGCCAAGGAGGGCCUCACUGCAUAGGAGGCAUUUGAAGGCAAUGAGGGGGUGAGGCACUGAGCUGUGAGGGCAGAGUGUGCUCCAAGUGGGCCUGGGGGGAGAGGGGGCAUGGCUGCUGGAGGAAGAGCCUGGAGACUGGUGUAGCUGGACUGCAAAGAAUGGAGUCCGAGCUCGGGAGGUGGGGGUUAGGAGGAGAUCUGUGAGGCCUCGUGGCCGCCAUGAGGACUUUGGCUUUGCCGCUGAGUAAGAUGAGAAGCCUGAGGCCAGAAAGCAGCAGCAACUGGUGACAUCCCAGCCCUUGUCUUUGCCUGCAAAGAAUGGAGGCCUGGAAUUCCUACCAGAAGAUACAGAAACAACCAACAUGCAUAGACAAGCUGCUUGGAGGCCAGGAUGUACAAACAGAGAAAUGUCUUUUCCCACCAACCAGAAUGGUCCUAAUGAUGUACUACUCUUGGGUAAAUUGAGCCGAUAAUCACUGGAAUCGUUUCCUGUGUGCCCAGUGCAGAUGGGAAAACAACUGAGAAGCCAUCUGCCCUGGCUGAAAAAAUAUGGCCAUUAGACCCGUGUGCGCCCCUGGGCGGUGAUGCCAGUGGAGGUAUGGUAGCCCCAGAGGCUCCCCAAGAGGGUAUUGGUGCCCGUAGAGAUAAGCUGCUGUCCUCUCGAGUGGAAAGGAUGCAGUGCAACCAAUUUGCCAUCAGGUGGCCGGCCAGCCUCUUCAAGGGGUGACCACAUCAAGGACCUGGCAUUGGUCUCCACUGCUGGAAGGGGGACAUCUGCUACAGUGGGGGUGGCAUGCUGGGGCCCACACACCGAGUCUGCCCUGCUGCUGCGCCUCCUCUGUUCACAGACCCACUGUGCCAAUGCCAGAGUGGCCCCAGGGCAAGUCAGUCUGGGCCUGCUUGUCACCGUUCUCCUCCAGGCUAGAUGCACGUACGCCAUGCCCAUCCAGGAAUCGACUCCCCAGACCUCCUUGGCUCGGGUCUUCCCUACUUCCAAAGAUGUGACCAACCAUCCAGGCUCCUGCCUAUUUCCCAGAGUCCACACAUCACUGUCCGUCAGGCUGCUUUUCCCUUUUCCUCAGCGAGCAACUCAGCACUCCAGGGCCAUCUCUCCCCACCAGUCUCCUUGAGGGACUUGCCACGGGGAUUGCCCGAUGGCAGAGGCCCAUAAUUGGUUGCAGGCCUAUCUGUGAGCCUGGCCUUCAUAUUUUCUCCUCCACCCUUUGACCUGAGGGUCCCCUCCCCCGCAGCUACAGGUGGGCAGAGGCAAUAGAACCACAGAGAUCAGGACUGCAGGAGCCCAGCCUGCCUCGUCGCUGGGCCCGUGCGGAGAUGCACUCAGCCCCAGCCUGAGCUCCCCCAUCUGUCACACCAUGGAUAGCUGCUGGACCUGGCCGCCUUAUGACGAGUGGAUCUGACGGUGACCAUGUCCAGUCACACGGUCACAUGAUGCCCAUCACCAGAUGCUCAGGCCCUCCAGGGGCCCUGGAGCAUUCCAGAAGCUGGGCUCCUGACCUAGCUCUACUUUGGCAUUCUGAGCGUUUACAUAGCAACCUCUUACCAGGGCUGGCCAGCAGCUGCACCUGGGGCCGUGUCUACCACCAUCAGAUCUGCAGGUCAUAUGACUACAGAGCAGCUUGACCACAGUCUGAACCUUCUGGAGAGAGAGAGAGACACUUCUCCUGCUCUGGGCCCCUCCCAUCAACCGGAUGAGUGGGUUGGGGCUGCAUUUCCAAGGGUGAUGUUUGCUGCAUCCUGGGUCCCUUGGCACUGGGGCCUCUUUCUUCAUGGUGGGAGGUGGGAGGGGCAAGAGCCUGUCCUCGCCCCCAAAAAGGGAGUUCCCAGCAUGCCCCAGGCCUCCAGAACCUUACAGUCUUCACCGAUACGGCAAGCCUCACGUGCCUCAGGAGGAUAAUAAGGGUGCUUGCACAACCUGAGUACCGUGACGUCAUCGGGAGAGUGGACCAGCAUGACAAUUGGCACAUAUCCAGACCAGCAGUUCCUUCAGUGGCAUGUCAGGCUUUUUUUUCUCUUGGAUCAAAUCCAAGUGAAACUAAAGGCAAUCCUUUAACCCUGGGAAGCCGCCGUCAUCAUAGGGUCCAUUUCCACACCAGUGACCCAGCUCCAUGUUUCCGAGCCUCUCAGGGAGGUGUCUGGAAUUAUGCUCUUUCCCAGGUUGGUGACGAUUGCUCUGAGUGGUAGGACUCGGGAAUGGUGAUUCAAUUUUGCUUUUCCAUUUUUCUGUCGUGUAUUUUUUUAAAUAAUUAUGUCAAAUUUUUAUUAAGUAACAUUUUAAAAGUUCCCUAUGGAUCCUGUAAGCCUCGGGGCUGCAAUCAGGAGCAUUUAGGUGGGGCUGGUUCUGACUGCAGAGACUAGCACUGAGCCCAGGGAAGGAUGUUCCAGAGGGGGGUUGAGGGUGAACUUGGCCAUGUUUUGGGCCCAGCUUUAUAUCAAGGAGGCAUGAUCAGGUGUGGGGGAGGUAUUGGGACAGUCUCAACCUUCUAGGAGCUGGGAUGCGGGAAACUGGCCGGGGCCCCAAGGAAGAGCAACAACCAGCAAGCAGCCCGGAGGUGGGAGAAGGCUCCAGUGUCAUUAAAGCAGACCCAGUGGGCAGGAGGACUGAAAACAGCCACAGCAAACAUUUAUAUGUGUUCUAGACUCCUUAUCCGUAUUAACUCGUUCCAUUUUCCAAACAACCCAGAAGGAAGAGUCUAUGGAUAUCCCCAUUUUACAGUUGAGGAAACUGACUCAAGGGACAAUUUAAUAACUUGCCUGAAGGAAAGUGAGGUAGGAGUAUAGCUCUAGAUAUGGGCCGGCAUGAAUGCACUUGUGCGUAUAUUAUUUUUUUUAAACAAAUAUUUCCACAUACCCAGUGCUGUUUCUGGUAUUGAAGAAAGAGAAGUUAGCAAACACAUACCCCCAUCUAGCCCCAUAUCCUUGCCAUGAAAGAUGCUAGUGGAAGAAAUAUGUAUUCAAUAUGUACUUGCACAAGCAUAUUGUUACAAACAAAGAUACUUGCCACAAAGCAAAUAAACAGGAAACUGACCUGGCUCAGAGUUCAUAUUCUGGGCAGAGGAAACAGCAUGUGCAAGGGCCCUGUGGUGAGCAAAAGGUUAGCUCCUUAGAGCUUCCAGAAAGGGUGCAAAAUAGAAAGUGUGAGCAAGAGGAGUUUGGUGGGAGAUGGAACUCAGGAUGUGCUCAGGAACUCCAUUUCUUAGACCCUCAUACGCCAGAAUAGGGUUUGUAUUUUAUGCUAAAUACAUUGGGAAGCUAUUGAAAGGUCUUGUCUGGGGACACUCUAAUGCUACAUGGAAUCAGAAGGCAAAGGGGAAGCGGAAAGACCCAUUAGAAGGCUAGUAGAGUACAGCGAGUGAGAGAUAAUGGUUGCCUGGCCCGCAGUGAUGAGAAGGGAGAGGAGAGGCUGCCCCUCUUCGGAGCAGACUUCUGGAAGCCCCUCCCUCCCCACCACUUCUCAUAUCCCUUCAGCGGAGGAGCCUGGGAAUUGUGAUCUUUGUUCCACUGAAGACCUUGUGCUCACUGAAGAGUCUGGUACCCCGUUUCUAAGGAAGAAAUGAGGGCCGGAUAUCGAGGCAGGCAUCCAGCAGCCUUGCUCGGUGAUGUUAGAGUUGAUGGUGGUGGUAAUGCUGGUGGUGACAGUGGUGGCAGAGGUCAGUUAUAGGCGAUGGUGGAGGUCAUGACCAGGUCUGUGGUGGGCAUGGUGGUGUCCCUGUUGGCAGGGCAGUGAUGGGGAAGGUGGGGAUCCAUGUAGGGGUGGUUGACUGUGAGGUGAUCACGAAGGUGGCAGUGGCAGAGGUGAUGGUGAUGUCUGUGGUGACAGGGAUGGCCAUGUUGGCACUGAGUAGGUGACAGUGUUGGUGGUGGUGGUUGAUGCUUGUGGCAACAGGGUUGGUGGUCAUACUGGUGGAUGUGCUGGUCGUGAUGGCAUGAAUGGCAUUUGCAUUGGUGGCGAUGACAACCUUGUGCUGGUGUUGACGUUGAUGUUGCUGGCGGUGGUCUGGAUUUCGCUGCGACACGAGU